UUCAAAAAUGGGUUGAAAUUAGGCGUUUGGGAUUAACAUAGACACACUAACUAUAUAUAUAACAGAUAGCCAACAAAGACCUACUGUGUAGCACAGAGAACUCUGUUCAGUAUUUUAUAGUAACCUAUAAGAGAAAAGAAUCUGAAAAAGAAUAGACAUAUAUGUGUGGAUAACUGAAUCACUUUGCUCUGAAAUUAAUAUGACAUUGUAAAGCAACUAUGCUUCAAUUUAACAAGAUAGAAAUGGGUUCAGGUUUGCUUAGCUAAAUAACCUUGAAUUUGAUUUUUUCAAUAGAUUUUAGUAUUUUAAAGUCAUAUGCUUGGAGCAUUAGAAAAAUGAAAUGCCAAAGCUGAUAUCCUGACCCGAGUUAUAAGAUGCCCAUGCUUUACCUUCAUAGCACGGCCCUCCCGGUAGUCACUGUUCACCAGCAAACGUGUUGUCAAUACACAAGGCAAUUGAAUGCACAUGUGUUUCUAUUUGACCACCUAUGUAUUUGCUCCUCUAAAGAAAAAUCAUAAUCGAAGAAGGAACCGGCAGCCUGCCCAGGACACGCCACCACCCCAAAAGCAGAAAGUCAUCUUUCUGCUGUUGAUGUCUCUAAUGUGAAGAAGCCUGCAAGCCCAGAAAGCUUAUUUCUCAGCUGAGUGACCACAGCAGAAAGCACCCACAUUCUUGUCUAAGCCCUGUAACUGCAGGCUUCUAUGGUAAGGCCAAUAUCUGCCUUCAUGCAGAACUGCCAGAGGGGUUAGGGAAACGAGAUACCAUUUCUCUGAGAAACUCUGCUCAUUUCUGUGAGCCCAUGACUGAUGGUGAUUGACAACCCUGCACACCUGCAAUCAAGGAUGCCCCGUAUUUAUCCCAGGGCAACACCUGCAGGGAGACCGGCUCUCACUCCCUGAGCGCGUCCCGCAGAAGGCUGGCAGAGUGUCUCCUGGUCCUCUCUUCCCUAAAGCUCCGGGAAGGCGGCCAGGAGCCCGGUCACCUCACCCCUGUGCGGCAGUCCUGUGCAAGCAUCUCUCUUCUGCGCUCACCUUCUGGCCGGAGGCAACAGCAGGGUCCUCUUUGUGAAGGAGACACCCAGGGGCUGAGUAUCAGGGAACAAAUGCAUUCAUCAUGGCAGGGCCCGUGUGCCAAGGCGCAAUAAAGACCAUGCUCGCCGCGGCGGGGAGCGUGGGGACCUCGCCGCAGACCACACGCGCCGGAGUCGCUCUCUGAAGUCUCAUUACUAAGUAUGUGUGUAUGUAGCGGGGGGUGA
Molecule: long non-coding RNA, 1255 nt
Filed under: Bos indicus x Bos taurus (hybrid cattle)
Lineage: Eukaryota; Metazoa; Chordata; Mammalia; Artiodactyla; Bovidae
Description: lncRNA (ENSBIXG00000028767.1)
Source: RNAcentral